AUUGAACGCUGGCGGCAGGCCUAACACAUGCAAGUCGAACGGUAACAGGAAGAAGCUUGCUUCUUUGCUGACGAGUGGCGGACGGGUGAGUAAUGUCUGGGAAACUGCCUGAUGGAGGGGGGUAACUACUGGAAACGGUAGCUAAUACCGCAUAAAGGCGCAAAGACAAAGAGGGGGGCCUUCCGGCCUCUUGCCAUCGGAUGUGGCCAGAUGGGAUUAGCUAGUAGGUGGGGUAACGGCUCACCUAGGCGACGAUCCCUAGCUGGUCUGAGAGGAUGACCAGCCACACUGGAACUGAGACACGGUCCAGACUCCUACGGGAGGCAGCAGUGGGGAAUAUUGCACAAUGGGCGCAAGCCUGAUGCAGCCAUGCCGCGUGUAUGAAGAAGGCCUUCGGGUUGUAAAGUACUUUCAGCGGGGAGGAAGGGAGUAAAGUUAAUACCUUGGCUCAUUGACGUUACCCGCAGAAGAAGCACCGGCUAACUCCGUG
RNAcentral lists this ribosomal RNA (490 nucleotides) under uncultured bacterium. Its description in RNAcentral is "partial 16S ribosomal RNA". It matches the Rfam family "Bacterial small subunit ribosomal RNA", at positions 30 to 507 of the family's 1533-position model. The record is from RNAcentral.